GAGUUUGAUCCUGGCUCAGGAUGAACGCCUUCGGCAGGCUUAACACAUGCAAGUCGAGGGGCAGCGAGAUCAGUGCUUGCACUGAUUGUCGGCGACCGGCGCACGGGUGCGUAACGCGUAUGCAACCUACCCAUUACAGGGGGAUAACACUGAGAAAUCGGUACUAAUACCCCAUAACAUCCAGGGAGGCAUCUUCUUGGGUUGAAAACUCCGGUGGUAAUGGAUGGGCAUGCGUUGUAUUAGUUAGUUGGUGGGGUAACGGCUCACCAAGACAACGAUACAUAGGGGGACUGAGAGGUUAACCCCCCACAUUGGUACUGAGACACGGACCAAACUCCUACGGGAGGCAGCAGUGAGGAAUAUUGGUCAAUGGACGCAAGUCUGAACCAGCCAUGCCGCGUGCAGGAAGACGGCUCUAUGAGUUGUAAACUGCUUUUGUACGAGGGUAAACGCAGAUACGCGUAUCUGUCUGAAAGUAUCGUACGAAUAAGGAUCGGCUAACUCCGUGCCAGCAGCCGCGGUAAUACGGAGGAUUCAAGCGUUAUCCGGAUUUAUUGGGUUUAAAGGGUGCGUAGGCGGUCGGAUAAGUUAGAGGUGAAAUCCCGGGGCUCAACUUCGGAAUUGCCUCUGAUACUGUUCGGCUAGAGAGUAGUUGCGGUAGGCGGAAUGUAUGGUGUAGCGGUGAAAUGCUUAGAGAUCAUACAGAACACCGAUUGCGAAGGCAGCUUACCAAGCUACUUCUGACGUUGAGGCACGAAAGCGUGGGGAGCAAACAGGAUUAGAUACCCUGGUAGUCCACGCAGUAAAC
This 808-nucleotide ribosomal RNA is filed under the name uncultured bacterium. RNAcentral's name for it is "bacterial SSU rRNA". It matches the Rfam family "Bacterial small subunit ribosomal RNA", at positions 9 to 807 of the family's 1533-position model. The record is from RNAcentral.